CCUACGGGGGGCAGCAGUCGAGAAUCAUUCACAAUGGGGGAAACCCUGAUGGUGCGACGCCGCGUGGGGGAAUGAAGGUCUUCGGAUUGUAAACCCCUGUCAUGUGGGAGCAAAUUAAAAAGAUAGUACCACAAGAGGAAGAGACGGCUAACUCUGUGCCAGCAGCCGCGGUAAUACAGAGGUCUCAAGAGUUGUUCGGAAUCACUGGGCGUAAGGCGUGCGUAGGCUGUUUCGUAAGUCGUGUGUGAAAGGCGCGGGCUCAACCCGCGGACGGCACAUGAUACUGCGAGACUAGAGUAAUGGAGGGGGAACCGGAAUUCUCGGUGUAGCAGUGAAAUGCGUAGAUAUCGAGAGGAACACUCGUGGCGAAGGCGGGUUCCUGGACAUUAACUGACGCUGAGGCACGAAGGCCAGGGGAGCGAAAGGGAUUAGAUACCCUAGUAGUC
This 446-nucleotide ribosomal RNA is filed under the name uncultured bacterium. RNAcentral describes it as "partial 16S ribosomal RNA". It matches the Rfam family "Bacterial small subunit ribosomal RNA", at positions 338 to 795 of the family's 1533-position model. The record is from RNAcentral.